Long non-coding RNA from Fundulus heteroclitus (mummichog), 2422 nucleotides. RefSeq lists it as uncharacterized. The transcript has 3 exons. The record is from RefSeq and is a predicted model, not a curated record. Lineage: Eukaryota; Metazoa; Chordata; Actinopteri; Cyprinodontiformes; Fundulidae.
GGGGGGGGAUAAAAAAAUAAAGAAACAAAUAAUUUAAAAGAGAAAAAUGCUGAUAGCUGCUAUGUAGCACACAGGGUUCUGCCUCAUAUUUGUGGAAUGCCUGAUGUGGUGCGUGAAGAAACGCAGGCAGCCAACAGAAUUGGCAGAUUUCCCCUUGACCAGCUCUGAUCGCUAAUAUUUUAUAUGCAUCAAAGCAAAGGACUCCCACAAUUUUCAGCAUAAGAAUAAAUCAGAUAUCAAGUUGAAUUUGAUCACAUUUAAUAAAAAAAACAGAUGCAUAUUAUGCAUUAAUGCAUAUCAAAUUUAUCUUAUGAUCCAUUCUUUCUCUGCUUCAUUGAAAAGUACUAAUUCUAUCAACGAACCAGCAGCAGGAUUUUUUUUUCACUCUUAUGUGUAACAAUCCUUAGAAAACAAAUAUUGUUUUCAUUGUUAUGUGUAAUCUGUGUGCUUUCUGAGCCGAUGUCUCAUCAGAAAUGUCAUUAUGGUAACACAUAGUGACUAUAAAGAUUCUCGACAGAAAACCAGACAUAUUGGUAACAACUAGAAAAAAAAGCCUGAGAAAGUGUGUCCCCAGAAAAAUAGGGGUUUUGUUUCUUCUGUUUAUUAAAUGCAUAAAAACAUCAAAACCCAACCAUUUCCAGCAUCAAAACAUAUCAGCAAACAGCAUGUACCUUUUUGCACAUCUUUCAAAUGCAAUAAAAAUCAGGACGGAGACGUAUGCUUUGAUGCAUAUAUUGGAGUUCUCUUGCAUUUUUUUCCAUUCGUAUUCUUUACUACUAUGUCCAGCAAAUAACCUGGCAAAGGUAAUUCCCUAUAGGUUAGGCUACAGUUAGCCAGGUUAGGCUACAAAAUCUGAAUCGGUCAAAAUCACAAGAUCAGACCUUAAAUGACACUGAACAUAAUUACUGGUCAGAAAAAAGGCUAAUUUGGUGAAUCUCUUUAAAAAAAAAAACGUGGUUAGUUAAAUGCAUCAAAACUAAGAACCUUCACCCUUUCAGGCUAAUAAAACACAUCUAUCAACAGCAUGUCCUUUGAGAGAGAAAAGGUCCGAUUUGGAAGGUCAGACCUCAAAGAAAACUGAAAAUGGGUAUCAACCAGAAAAAGCCAGAGCUGCAUAGCCCUAGUUGGAGGAAAACAAUUUGAUGAUGUACAGCUGGGCAAAGAUUCGGAGCUCAGUCACUUCAGUAAUCCUGAACAUCAAUGGGAUUCUCAUUCAAUAAAAAAAAAAAAAAAGAAAGAAGGCAAUUUCAAUUUCGAUUCCGAUUCGAUGCAGCCAGGCUGAACCUGGAUUUAUUUUUAUUUGCUUUAACCGCUUCAUCUUAGAAACCUGGCAAAACCUGUUUAAGUUCAGAGAACAAAUUUGUCCUUCCUAUUUAAAAAAACAAACAAAAAAAAAACAACUACUAAUUGCUUGGGCUUCAUCUUCCAUCCACUGUUGCAUCUGUGUUCAACAACUCCCCACGCGUAGGGGCAAAAUCAACACAUAUAUGGUAAGCAAUCACCUCAUAUAUUAUAACUGUGAACAAACAGCCCCUUAAUCAACACCUCCCGAGCCCAAAUAACUUUUCUUAAAACAUCAGCACCUAUAAAACACAAAAUAAAUGUUACUAUGUGUGAUUUUUCACACUGCGCACAUAAACAAAAAGCAACAUCCAGCAGCACGGGCUGAAACGCAGCAAGACAAUGGCCUUUCUUUUUUUUUUUUUUUUCUAAAGCAUGCUAUAUCGACAUAACAUAACGGUCUGUGUGCAGAGUGUCCUUGGUGUGCUCUCUUUAUCUACGAUUGCAGAGAUGCCACUUCCUCUUCCUUCUGCAGCCUUAAAAGAUACAAGUCGUGCUGCCGUGCCAUCAUUUCCCCUCGACGCAUUCUCCAUCCAUCUUAUCUACAUGAUCCCACUUAUUGAUUUAGUUACUGCACAACCCGCGGACAAUGAUUUAUGUCUCGUUGAUCGCAGGCGAAGCGGCAGCUUAUAGGCACUGUAUCCGUGACCUUCCCCAAUCAAGGCGAGCCCUGCAGAUCCCGGCGUAGCAAACAACGCCAUUUGGUGUACAUCUACAAUAACCAGACCACGUCACCGGAAAUACGAUGCUGCGCGUGCAAGCAGCGAAUAAACAAGGAGGAGCAAUGGAGCCGAGCGAGUCAGCAACAUCCAGCGGAAGUGCAAAACGAAAGAGAAAUAGCCCUCCUUUUCAUCAGGCGGCCCUCGUCAUCACCAGGCACAGCAAUCAAUACAGGAAGCUGUAACGUGAGGGGAUGUGGAAACUUGGGAGAGAGGGAGACAAGGAGACCCGCCAUCCUCCAACAGCCUCUCUCCAGGGCAACCGCAGCCUCUGCAAUGGCUAAUUACGGGAUGCUUCGAGUCAGAGGUGGUCCACGAGGUGCUGCUCUCCGGAUUAAGAGGACAGGGAUUGCGUAAAAAAA